GUUCCUAUGUGACGCUGAUGGGCCCUGGUUGCUGCUAAAUGCUUGUUGAAAGUGCAUUGUGCACUUUUUGUAUGUAGCUACAAAAUGAGGGUGGAUAUCACUUUAUAGUUUAUAGGCAUUAUAUACUAAUAACAAUCAUUGACAAAUCACAUUCCCCUUUUACCACCACAGGACGCACCUCACCAGUACCAGAGCAACAGCUGUGGGGUGUUUAUGCUGAUGGGGGACAUGCUCUCUAUCAGGAGUUGGUGGUUGGACUGCUGUUGGAGACCUUUAUACUUGAAAGCCCUGCAGAACUAGCUGGCUCCUUCUCACCCUCUCCAUCUCCCCAUCUCAGUCACACCUUCCAAUCACUAAGCAGUGAAAGCCCUGCAGGACUAGCUGGCACACCAAGCUCACCCUCUCCAUCUCCCCAUCUCAGCCACACACUCCAAUCUGGCACAACAGAGGACAGGCCAUUCUUACCACCCGAAGUCCUUCAGCAAAUUGUACAAGAGACGCUGAGACUGGACAUGGCGAUGCUUGGCGUGUUCAACAGGGUUUCAAACACAUUCCGAGAACUAAUCAAGCCUCUCCACCCUUCCAUAUAUAUAAAUGACAGUUUGGCAGGGGAC
RNAcentral lists this long non-coding RNA (614 nucleotides) under Gadus morhua (Atlantic cod). RNAcentral's name for it is "lncRNA (ENSGMOG00000024853.1)". The record is from RNAcentral. Lineage: Eukaryota; Metazoa; Chordata; Actinopteri; Gadiformes; Gadidae.